Molecule: long non-coding RNA, 1457 nt
Filed under: Anas platyrhynchos platyrhynchos (common mallard)
Lineage: Eukaryota; Metazoa; Chordata; Aves; Anseriformes; Anatidae
Description: lncRNA (ENSAPLG00000018822.1)
Source: RNAcentral
UAACCCUCGCCAUCCUCCUGCAGGAGAGCAUCCCCUUCGCUGUCAUCGGCAGCAACACGGUCGUGGAGGCCAAGGGCCGGCGCGUCCGCGGGCGCCUCUACCCCUGGGGCAUCGUGGAAGGUAACGGCAUGGGGGGACCUGUCCCUGCAGGGACGGGGACACAGAGUCAUAGAAUCAUAGAAUAUCCCGAGUUGGAAUGGACCCGUAAGGAUCAUCAAGUCCAACUCCUGGCACCGCACAGUGGAGAACCCGUCCCACUGCGACUUCGUGAAGCUGCGCACCAUGCUGGUGAGGACACACAUGCAGGACCUGAAGGACGUGACGCGGGAGACCCACUACGAGAACUACCGCACGCAGUGCAUCCAGAGCAUGACCCGCAUGGUGGUGAAGGAGAGGAACCGCAACAAACUGACGCGGGAGAGCGGGACAGAUUUCCCCAUCCCUGUCAUCCCCCCGGUGCCCGAUUCGGAGACGGAGAAGCUCAUCCGGGAGAAGGACGAGGAGCUGCGGCGCAUGCAGGAGAUGCUGCAGAAGAUCCAGAAGCAGAUGAAGGACUCCCACUAGCCCCCUCCUCCUCGUCCUCCGGCCGUGUGCCACGCGGAUCAGAGAUGUUUACAUCACGCUCCAUCCCAGCCAAGCUGCGAGACUCGCUGUGAUAAAGGUUUGGGAUGCUGCAUCUGAACCAACGGAUGCUGGUGAUGAGUCUGGUUGCCUCUGUAAGUUCCUCUCCAGACCUGGUGGUUUCGGUAGCUGCAGCGUGCCGUCAUGCCCCAGAACCGCCUCACACUCCUCAGGGCGGGACACAGCCCCAGUUCUCCAGAAAAUGAAGAAGUGUUCAACAUGUUCUGUGGUUUCUCUCUUUCUCACAUCCAGAAUAGAAAAACCAGAGCAAGAGCUUGAAACUUUUUCCUCAGCACUGAACCCAGCUGAAGGAAGGCCCUGGCCUAGCUGAGCGGUAUGGCUCUGCCCCUCACCAGACGCCUUUUGAAGGCUGAAGAGGAGGGAGAGGAAAUGUGUCAGGCUAUGGGAGAUCUUCUCCAGAGCUUUCCAGUGCUCUUUCCUGCUCCUUUGUGCAUCAGGACUGAGUGCAAGGGACAAAGCACCAUCACUGUGCUCUAAAAAGCCACCCUUCACUUUUUACAAAACACUUACAGUUUGCUCCUCUCCUCCUCAGCUUCCAGGCUACCAGAUCACCUGGAACCGGGACAUUCCUCAUUGUUCAGUACCUCGUUUUGGGUCUUGGGUUCAGUGGUAUAACCACCAAGAGGGGCAUUUCUCAGCUGCCUGAGGCUUUGGCAGAUGCCCGUGGGCUCAUCGCCUCUUGUCCUGGUGUUUCUGGCAAGGGCAGAGGUGGAAGCCUUUGCUUCCUCCUGCAGCACCCAUUUAAUAGGUGUACACCUAUUUCUGGGGGAGCUACGACUGGGGGGGGUGGAGGGGGAAGUUCCUUCAGGAGGACC